UUUAUUUAUUUAUUUAUUUAUUUUUGGCCUCGCCACAUGGCAGGCGGGAUCCUAGUUCCCUGACCAGGGAUUGAACCUGCACUCCCUGCAGUGGAAGUGCCGAGUCUUUACCACUGUACCACCAGGGAAGUCCCCCUGUCUUCCUGAGUUUAGAAAUUCUUCAGCAACCUUUAAGCUUUCACAAAGCCAGCUCAGCUACUGGUAACUUCCCUUUGUUCCACAGGUCACACCAAGGAACGUACAAUUAGGGAAUACCCUAAUUUUGUGGACUUUGAUACAGACCUCCUUGAUUCAGCCUCUCUGCAGUUCUCCUCUCAGUACUUAUUCUCAACAUUCUUUAAACCUGAGUUCCUAUUUGCCUGCUUAUUCCUCCAUUUUAUUUUAAUUUCCUUUAAACAACUCCUUCACGCUGUAAGAAACAUACAUAUUAAAUUAGAAAAAUUAUAUGAAUUCAUGCCUUUGAAAUAAUGUUUCCAGCUCCAUUUCUCCUAAAAGAUGCAAAUAAUAUCCAGUAGCACAUGUGCAAUACUAAUGACCAGAGUCUAUUUCCCUCUAAAAGAAAUCUGUCUUCUUAGAGAGUGGUUAUUUUUAUCUUGCAUCAGGAAAAUUUAGGACAGGGCUGAAUAUUAUGUUGUUGCCAAAAAUCGGGGGUGGUUACGUUGGCGCCAACAACAACUAGUAACAAAUGGCAUCUGCUGAGGGAAUUCUGCUGGAAAUUAUGACAAUUCGAAAAUGAAAGCAAUGUUAUUAAUAUUGUUAUUUGGAAAAAGUUGAGUCUAUGGAAAGCCAUGAAUUCAUAAUUAUACUGAAAAGAAAAUUAAGAUGAAGUUCAGGAAAAGGCAGUUGAAAUACAAAAGAAGGAUGAACAAAAAUAUACAUCUAAGUUAUCACUGAUUUUAAUGUUAGGGAAGGGAAGUGUAGUAAUUUCUCUUCAUCUAAAUGAGUAAUUUCUCUUCUAUACUAAUGUCAGAUUAUAAAGUAGAGUUGUGUACUUUGUUUUCGUAAGCAGGAAAUUGAAAGCAAUCCAAUCAGUACUAAAACUGUGCCGAGUACAGGAACAAUCAAUCCCAUCUGUAAUUAUUCACACGAAAUGAAAGUUAAACACUUUAAUGGCCAGUCACAUUCUCCAAGUACCAGAAGAGUUCAACAGCAUGGAAGAGAGGUAAUUAAAUAUAAAGGGUUAUAUAACACUGAUAAAUGGAAACUCUAAAAGUCAUGUCAAUUCAGGAGAUACCAGUAUUGCAACAAUACUAAAACCUGUGAGAAGGACAAAAUGCAUGGACAUUUUAAAAAGCAUAUAGAAAGUGAAGCUUUACCAUAAAAAGAGAAGUUCGUUUGAUAAUCAGUGGCUUGGAUUUGAAUCAUUCUCAGAGAGUCAACCAUACUAGGGCCCUACUAAACAUAAAUCAAUCAUCUAAAUUCAGCAAUUUGGGCUAAUUUUUUGCUCAAAAAAACCCUUUAUGAAUACUUAAAGUUGAAAUUCACAUAAUUUUUUUUUUUUUGGCAGUACGCAGGCCUCUCACUGUUGUGGCCUCUCCCAUUGUGGAGCACAGGCUCCAGACGCACAGGCUCAACGGCCAUGGCUCACGGGCCUAGCAGCUCUGCGGCAUAUGGGAUCUUCCCGGACCAGGGCACGAAUCCAUGUCCCCUGCAUCGGCAGGUGGAUUCUCAACCACUGCGCCACCAGGGAAGCCCGAAAUUCACCACUUUAAAUAUAUCAUGCCACUCCCUUCUGGCCUGCAGUAUUUCUACUGAGAAAUCAGCUGAUAGCCUGAUGUGGUUUUCCUGGUAUGUGACUCAUUGUUUUUCUCUUGCUGCCUUUAGAAUUCUCUAUUUUUAACUUUUGCCAUUUUAAUUAUGAUAUGUCUGGUUGUGGGCCUCUUUGGUUUCAUCUUGUUUGAGACUCUCUGUGAUUCCUGCACCUGGAUAUCUUUUGCCUUCUCAGAUUUGGGAACUUUUCUGCCAUAAUUUCAUCCAAUAUAUUUUCUGCCUCUUUCUCUCUUUUCUUCUCUUUCUAGGACCCCUAUAAUGCAAGUGUUAGUGCACUUGAUGCUACCCUAGAGGUCCCUUAAACUGUUCUUAUGAAAAAUAAUUUAUUCUUUAUUGCUGCUCUGAUUGAGUGAUUUCCAUUAUUCUGUCUUCCAGGUUGUGAAAGCGUUCUUCUGUGUCACCUAACCUGUUGUUAAUUCCUUCUGGUGUAUUUUGUAUUUCAGUUACUGUAUCCUUCAUCUCUGAUUGGAUCUUUUUAAUAUUUUCUAGUUCUUUGAGGUUCUCAUUGUGUUCCUCUACUAUCUUCCCACAUUCAGUGAGCAUUUUUAUUACUAUUGCUUUGAGUUUUUUAUCAGGUAAAUUAUUUAUCUCGCUUUCGAUAGGGUUUUUUUCCCUGAGGUUUUAUCUUGUUAUUUCAUUUGGAACAUGUGUGUUUUUCUUCUAAUUUGUUUGGUCUUUUCUGUUCGUCUCUAUGACAUUAGGCAAACAGUUACCUAUUCCAGAGUCUAAACGUGUGUCCUUGUGUGGGAGCAUCUCUGUGUGGUCUGCCUGUGACCAGUGGCAUUGGUGGGAGAGCUGGAUCUAAAGCGAGCACAGCUCAUGUCUUCUCCCUAGGUGAGCUGGCAGCUGCUGUUUUGUUGGGAGAUCGGGCUGGAGUCAGAGGGACUAGAGCCAGAGUUAGGUGUGAGCUGAGGCUUCUUCUAGGCUCAAUGGCAAUUGGUGACCUGUUGGGGGUAGGGCUAGGGCCCAAGGGGCUGGAGACACACUUCUGAGUUGCCACCACUUUCUCCCUGUGCAUGUGAUGGCUGUCUCUGCCUUAGCAGGGACCAGUGCCAGAGCAGGAGGGGAUGGAGCAGGAGGCUUUGGGCAUGCACUGAGGUAGUCCUGGCAGACCGGCCAGAGCGUCAAGCAGAAUCCAAUCUGCUGUCUCUGUUGGGACUGAAAACAAUCAAGUUUGUGUACACGCUCUUGAAGAACGGAGUCUUGGUUUCUUACAGCCCUAUGGGAAGCCCCACUGGUUUUCAAGCCAGCCAAGGGGGCUCGUCUUCCCAGUGCCAGUCCUCAGACCUGGGGUGCCUAAUAUGAGUCUUGUACCCCUCGCUCUUUAAAGAGAAUCCCUGAGCCUGUUUAUACUCCUCUGGGUCACCUGCUAGGGGUGUGGGUCCUGAAUGCAUUGCUUCUCCUGCCCACAUACUAGGCUCUGUGAGGUUCUUUCUUGAUAGCUUGGGUUGUAGAGAGCCAUUCUGCUACUCUUCAAGUUGUUUGCAGUGAGAGUUACUCUAUAUGUAGUGGUAGUUUUGAUGUCUUCAUGGAGGAAGGUGAGUUCAAGAUCCUCCGACUCUGCCUUUUGAUCCCCCUCCCGAGUAUUCUUACUUUGAAAUCUUUAUUAUUUCACACACACCAAAACAUGCAAGAAGCUUUAAACUAGAGACACAGAUUUUAAUUAGCUCCAAUGAUUAUAGCAAUUCUCUCCACACCCCUAGAAUCAAUCAAUUCUGAUACAACCAUGGUGGAUCACUCAUAAUCAAUAUUCUUCAGAAUAUGGAUAGUCAGGGUGAUCAGAAAUGCUGAAAGAGAAGGAGGGAGAUUAAUUUUAUUAACUCUGUCUCACACUUGUCAAGGAGAGUGUUCCUCUGUGGAAGCAGUUAGGAUGCUCUAAAACUCUAAAUUUACAACCAACUCGUUUACAACAUACAUAUAUGCAGGCUCCCGGUGCGUAUGUCAACUGCAUCUUCAUAUCCAGUUCCCACAUUCACAUGCAACAUAAAAGCCACAGUGAUAUCUACCUUGGCUGGAAUUACAAUUUCUAAGAAGGUCUAAGAACUAUAGAUGAAAUGCUAAGGUCACUUCAGCCCCAGGUGGAACAUUUGGCCCUGGAUGAUGGCAAUAAUCACAGUAAGAAUCUUGCUGAUCUUUUUCACACAUCCAUCCAACACAUAAACAUGGAGCACCCCCCAAAAUAGAGGGUGCUCUGUUAAAAAAACUUCUAAUCUCUUGAGAUAUCAUGUACACAUAAGUAACUAUACCGAUAAAAAGGGAUUACUGUUUUCUUAAUUUAUAAUGUAUUAAAACACGGGUUAUCAAGGAAUUAGUAUUACUGCUGUUUUCCUUUUUUUCCAUGUUUUUACUUUUCUUUCUAAGUUUGUCUUUUUCCAUUCAAUUCAUUAAAGAGUGCAUUCUGAGCAAGUCCAUGUGCCGGGAGCCAUGCUGUUGACCUGAGUCCACAAAUAUGAGUAAGUCUAGGCAUUCACAGCCUAAUAAGGAGAACACAGAAGAAUACUUCAAAGAUUUGAGUACAGAAAAGUAACUUUGCACCUGUUUUUUCAUGUAUAAUAUCCUUUCUCUGAAUCAUGAUAUAGCUUUACAAACAAGAGAAAGCGUUUUGACAUCUUUCAUUUGAAACUGUAUCUUUAUCAAUAAUUUGUAUUCCCUUCUCUCUAAACUCCCUUCCAAAUUUCUGUUUGAUUAGUCUUCUUUCUCUUCAGUCCUGAUAUCCUCCUGCAGUAAUUGAACAUGGAAUUCUAUGUUUGUGAAUUAAGUCAAAGUCGAAGAGGUAGGGGCUCCCCAGGGGGUGGACUCCUGAUGGACAAGGGCAACACUGCGGUCAGAGACGGAGCCCUGGAAGAAACCUCUGGUCUGAGGUCUACAGGAAGCCCUGGUUUACUCCUACACUGGAAAUCAGGCCUGCCUUCCUGGUUAGGGAAGCUCAGUUUCUCUGCUGACCUACAUGCUACAGAAAACAAUGUGUGUGGACCUCCCUCCCACCCCACCCCGCCAUCUCACCCAUCUAGGUCAUCACAGAGUACUGAACUGAGCUCCCUGUGCUAUACAGCAGGUUCCCAUUAGCUGUCUAUUUUACACACGGUAGUGUAUAUGUGUCAAUCGAAAUCUCCCAAUUCAUCCCACCCCUCCACCUCCAACCCCCGUGUCCACAAGUCCGUUCUCUACGUCUGCGUCUCUAUUGCUACCCUGCAAACAGGUUCAUCUGUAAGGGGAUAUAUGUAUACAUAUACCUGAUUCACUUCUUUGUACAGCAGAAACUAAUGCAACGCUGUGAAGCAAUUAUACUCCAAUAAAAAAGAAAAAAGAAAACAAUGUGUGUGAAAUAUAUACAAG
Molecule: long non-coding RNA, 5106 nt
Organism: Orcinus orca (killer whale)
Lineage: Eukaryota; Metazoa; Chordata; Mammalia; Artiodactyla; Delphinidae
Exons: 3
Source: RefSeq, a predicted model, not a curated record